CUCACUUGUAGCCAUGAGCUCCUGCUACCCUCACAGCAGCAGCCUGUGCAGUCACAGAACAAAUGAACUAUUGCCUCCAGUAACAGUCCACACCUGGACUGUCAUAAACCAACAAUGAGAUUGAAGUUCCCACUGCAUUUCCUGUACAGAUUUACAACUUGAGUUUCUUACUGGGCUUUGGAUGCACUACUUUGUAGUCUGCAGGAUGCAUCUGUUUGAAAACUCUGAUUUAGAUUUGCUAAUUCAAAGACUGGAAGUUGAGUGGUGAUAUGAACUCUGACUUUUGAACUGCACCUUACACCGGGCUGUGCUAAGGACCUGCAGUUCCCUGACUGUAAUACUAAAUAACUCACCUCAGGGACUGGGCUCGUCACUCUUUUUUUUAACUCUUAUUUUAGUCUAUUUUUUUAACACAGACUAACUCUUCUGUUAGCCAAUGUUAAAAAAAAAUCAGUUCCUUCUGUGUAAUUUCUUCGGUGUGCCAUGGACACACCCUGCAGCCACAAGGGAGGCAGCCCUAUAAAGGAGCCAAUACUCAGGAAGCCAAGAAGGACUCAAAAUCAGAAUUACAAGGAGUAUCAGAGAAGCUUACAGGUAAAACUCCAAGCACCCAACAUUAUCUGAAGAAGCAGAUGAAAGACAAGAAAAAAAAUUAACAGCAAAUUCCAGCAAGUCUCACACCAAAAAAUGAGGAGGCUGGGAAGGCACAAGAAGUUGGGAGGAGCACAGCCAAGAAAGUUGACCUCAAGAGACCACAGGGAUAUAUCCCAGACCACAUGGAGUCAUGCUCAGUACAUAAAGUUGGGAGAAGAAAGGAGGGACGAGGUUCAGAAUAUGGCGUUGUCUUCCCAUGUCACUGUUCCACAUGAUGGAGCCCUGCUUUCCUGGAGAUGGCUGAACACCUGCCUUCCCAUGGAACGUGGUAAAAGAAUUCUUUGGUUUGCUUUGCUUGCAUGUGCAGCUUUUGCCUUACCUACUAAACUGUCUGUGUCUCAACUCACAGGUUUUCUCACUUUUACCUUUCUAAUUGUCUGCCCCAUCCCAGCAGGGGGAGUGAGCAAGUGUCUGUGUGGUGCUUAGUUGCCAGUUGGGGUCAAACUACAACUCUUGGCCAUUUUAAAACCAUGCAGAUGGUUUUCAAAACUGGCAAGUGCACCUAGGUUCAGAGCAGUUACUCAUUAAAUGGUAACUGUUAAAGAUCAACCAACGAUUUCUUCUCAACUUUGCUCCAAAACCUUGGCUUCUGCCAAAGAUAGUGGAGGCUUUAUCAGUGGUUCACUGGCCAUAUGUAUCACUCAACCAGGAAAUUCCAACACUGCCAAGUUUAACAAAGGGAAUGCAAUUCCAUAUUAACUAUUAACUAAAGUCUCGUUUCAGAGAAUGCUAUAAAUUCCUUGGGACUCAGGAAAGGUUUUCUUACAUGACAGAGAACUGAGCAGAAAGGGAACGUGGGUGAGCUGUUAUGAGCUCCCAAAGGUUUUCCGUUUGUUUCUUUCUUUUGUGGGGGGAAAAAACCCCAGCAUUCUAAUAUGUAUCAGGCAGGAAGAGUAAAACAUUGUGAAUCUUAAAAUGUGGGAUCUGCGGUUAAGUGCUCUUUAAGCCCACUACCUUUAUCCUUUACACCAAACCUAAGAAUACAGAGAUUGCAUUUUUUUGACUGAUGAAAAUUUGGUUUGAUAAAUAUUAUACAAAUCACAUAUUGAGUAUAAACAUUCUGUGUUCUGGAAAUUCAGGCCCUCAUUGAGCUAAAUGUUAACACCAGCAUUUUUUGUAAGAUGAAGACUCCAACUCUGCCCAGUAGUGCAAUAUUUUUAUAUUGACUUAACAGUCAUUAAGCCAAACUCUGCCUGCCAGCACAGAAAUUUGAUACAAGCUGCCUGAACUGCAUCUCAUUUUCACACAGAACAUACACUGUGCUCAUUCUAUAGAUCACAGCACAGAUAGAUCCCAGCAGCCACACUCAGCCUCUGCAAGCAAGGAGCCAUUCAGUUCUCGGUUUCAGUUCAAAUGCCCGCCCCUCCUCAAGCACACAGGAGUGCAACGCCACGAACCAAAGGACGGCUGGAAUGCAGUUCCUGCAGAUGUAUAAACCAAUGAAGGAGCUUGAUUUAAGGUGCUGAAAGGCUGAACAUUGAAUCCAGCUGGGGUUCAGCUGCAGCUUACACUUAUGCUAUUUAUGAAUUACAAAUCAAGUCUGGGUGCUCAAGGCAACACAGUGUGUCAAACACCUCAGUCAAGGUGACCUACUUGGAGUAGAAUAACACAAACUCCUCCAGGGAAAAUCAAUCUGUAGGCACUGCAGCACGCUAGUAAUUACAAACAAAAUGAGACAACUGAACUGCACUGAAGAGUUAUAAAUGUAAGACAAAGUUCAGAAAUCCAGUGGCAAAAUCCUGAGCUCCUAACUCAGAACCAUCAUGCUAGAUCCUGAGAAGUACAGAUGUUAAGAAUCUCUCCUCCCCUCUAGAGACAUCCUACACUCAUGUGAUCCAGCUGUGCAGCACAGGCACGUAGCCUGCACAAGCAGCUUGAAUACGGUGGGAACUGAAGUAAGCAGUGAAGAAUAAGCCCAGGAAGUAAACAAUUCCAGAACAGUAUGGGAGGAAUAACUGUGUCUAGCUAGCCCGUCCCAAAGAUAAGUAUGUGUUGUGCUCCCUUAAGACUGCCAAAUCCAGAACUGGUUAAGGGGACAUGUGACUUGAAUUCCACAGGUACUUGGCACAGAUGAUCCCCGCCUUUUUCUCAUUGUUGCAAACAACAGCAUCACCCGAAUAAGGAAUGAGGCUGCGUAGGCAGCCUGCAGGAUUGUUGGAGGCAGAGUUACUCCUAACAAUACAUUGCUCUAAAGAAAGCAAAUUCAUACUUACUAGAACCAGUCUUUCCCCAAACCAGUAUUUUUGCUACACAUACUACUUCUACCAACCACAACAUCCUGCAUCCCAAACCAAUGGAUACUUAUCGUCCAGAACUGUGAUUUUCAAUCACAAGUUCUUCUCACAAUGCUUAACAAUGUACAAGGGAACUACAGUUUCCAAAGGCAGAGAUUAUUGUAAAUCACUUUCUCCACAAGUGUCACCUCCCUCAAACUCACCCUGCAGCCUGUAGCUCAACUCAGUGAGCACACUGGUAAGUCAAGUGCAGUGCCUAUGGAGAGAGGCAACCCCACAGAUUUUGAGAAAAGCAGCCCAUCGCCUGAUGUUAAUUCUAAGACCCACCUUUUCAUUCUGCACAUAUGGUCUUUAAAAAGCAAAGGCUGUCUUAGAUCCCAAUCCUCCUAUGCAGAGACCACCAUGAAAAAUAAAACUUCCCACUCAGGUGGCUCUCAGUCAGCUUUAGAAAGGUUUGUUGCAUCCCUUCUUUAUGUCCCAAGUAACACUCCCCUUUUUUGCUCAAAUCUGUGUCAGUCUUCUUCACUCAAUCACUACCUUAAAAUAUUUUAUCUGGAAUCCAAGUCUUCCCGCCUCUGGUUUAAAACAUAGUUUAUAGGAUUUAAUAAAAUGAAACAACUUCAGGUUCCUCCUGAUAUUCAUCUUUUAUCUUUCAGUUUAUUCUAUAACAUGCAUUAUUACAUUUGUUAUCUCUCUAUCCUCUGAGUUUCUGCUUAAUCCGUAAGUACUGUACCACUAGAGCGUUUCUCAUUUCAAUAACUUGGUAUAGAAUUAUGAUAACCACGCAAAUACUUGUCAAAUGUGCAUUUCUGUGAACUUCACAUGCAGCAUCACAUCACGCACAGUGAGGAUCUCCUCAGCAGAGCACCAGCACGGGAGUCACAACCUCAGCAGCACUGACAGGGCUCUGGGCAGACUCGUGCCCCUUCCCAACUUCGCACACAGCCGCCUCCCCACAGCAAC
Passer domesticus (house sparrow) is the source of this 3851-nucleotide long non-coding RNA. RefSeq lists it as uncharacterized. The record is from RefSeq and is a predicted model, not a curated record. NCBI's taxonomy places the organism in Eukaryota, Metazoa, Chordata, Aves, Passeriformes, Passeridae. The transcript has 3 exons.